UGGAGACAUUGUGGAUGUGCCCAGG
RNAcentral lists this non-coding RNA (25 nucleotides) under Rattus norvegicus (Norway rat). Lineage: Eukaryota; Metazoa; Chordata; Mammalia; Rodentia; Muridae. The record is from RNAcentral.